UCCGUAGGUGAACCUGCGGAAGGAUCAUUAUCGAAUUUAAAGCUUGGUUGAGCUGUCGCUUCGGCGUACGUGCUCGCCUCGCCGUCCAUUCUUCAACACCUGUGCACACUUCAAAGUAAUCGUUCUGUCCCAUCCCGCUUGUACGGGGGAGUUGUGAAAAAGGGAUCAUUAAUUUGGUUUCUCUUUUUAUAGCUUUCCAAAGAGAGGGUAAGACGUUACAAGAACGAUCUUUGCCUUAUAACAUACCCUUCUUUUAAAAAUGUUUAUGAACGUCAAAAAAAUGUAGGCUCGCCUUAAAAACGUGUAGCUGAAAUUAUAAAAUUAUACAACUUUUAACAACGGAUCUCUUGGCUCUCGCAUCGAUGAAGAACGCAGCGAAAUGCGAUAAGUAAUGUGAAUUGCAGAAUUCAGUGAAUCAUCGAAUCUUUGAACGCACCUUGCGCUCCCUGGUAUUCCGGGGAGCAUGCCUGUUUGAGUGUCAUUAAAUUCUCAACUUYGAAUCGUUUGUUUACAGACUUUACGAGGCUUGGACUUUGGAGUGUGCCGGUCUCUAACGAGAUCGACUCCUCUUUAAAUGCAUUAGCUGGAACCUCUUGUGGACCAGACUACGGUGUGAUAAUUAUCUACGCUGUUGGUCUUGUGAAGCACUUUAUUGUUACGAGGUUCUGCUUCUAAUCGUCCUUUACUGYGACAAUGAGGGUUUUAUUCUUAAUUGAAUUGGCCUUUGACAUUUUGACCUCAAAUCAGGUAGGACUACCCGCUGAACUUAAGCAUAUCAAUAAGCGGAGGA
RNAcentral lists this ribosomal RNA (790 nucleotides) under Typhula ishikariensis. Its description in RNAcentral is "eukaryotic LSU rRNA". The record is from RNAcentral. Lineage: Eukaryota; Fungi; Basidiomycota; Agaricomycetes; Agaricales; Typhulaceae.